This 253-nucleotide ribosomal RNA is filed under the name uncultured bacterium. Its description in RNAcentral is "partial 16S ribosomal RNA". It matches the Rfam family "Bacterial small subunit ribosomal RNA", at positions 524 to 776 of the family's 1533-position model. The record is from RNAcentral.
UACGUAGGCAGCGAGCGUUGUUCGGAAUUACUGGGCGUAAAGGGUGCGUAGGCGGCGCGGUAAGUCGGGUGUGAAAUCUCGGAGCUUAACUCCGAAACUGCAUUCGAUACUGCCGUGCUUGAGGACUGGAGAGGAGACUGGAAUUUACGGUGUAGCGGUGAAAUGCGUAGAUAUCGUAAGGAAGACCAGUGGCGAAGGCGGGUCUCUGGACAGUUCCUGACGCUGAGGCACGAAGGCCAGGGGAGCAAACGGG